RNAcentral lists this ribosomal RNA (324 nucleotides) under uncultured Cercomonas. RNAcentral's name for it is "SSU rRNA". The stretch from base 109 to 324 matches the Rfam family "Eukaryotic small subunit ribosomal RNA", at positions 738 to 955 of the family's 1831-position model. The record is from RNAcentral. Lineage: Eukaryota; Cercozoa; Cercomonadida; Cercomonadidae.
GAUUUCUGGUUCGGCGCACUUGGCCCGUCUCGGUUUACGAGAUUGUGUGCCGGUGUGCGCCAUCCAUCCUUCGAUGAAAACAUUUCUACCCUUCACUGGGUUGGGAGUGCUAUCUCGAUCUUUUACUUUGAAAAAAUUAGAGUGUUUAAAGCAGGCUUGCGCUAUGAAUACAUUAGCAUGGAAUAAUAAUCUAGGACUUCGGUUCUAUUUUGUUGGUUUCUAUAACUGAAGUAAUGAUUGAUAGGGAUAGUUGGGGGUGCUAGUAUUGGCCGGCCAGAGGUGAAAUUCUUGGAUUCGGUCAAGACUAACUUAUGCGAAAGCAUU